RNAcentral lists this ribosomal RNA (945 nucleotides) under Lactococcus lactis. Its description in RNAcentral is "bacterial SSU rRNA". It matches the Rfam family "Bacterial small subunit ribosomal RNA", at positions 43 to 973 of the family's 1533-position model. The record is from RNAcentral. Lineage: Bacteria; Bacillati; Bacillota; Bacilli; Lactobacillales; Streptococcaceae.
AGGGCAGUCUAUACAUGCAGUUGAGCGCUGAGGUUGGUACUUGUACCAACUGGAUGAGCAGCGAACGGGUGAGUAACGCGUGGGGAAUCUGCCUUUGAGCGGGGGACAACAUUUGGAAACGAAUGCUAAUACCGCAUAAAAACUUUAAACACAAGUUUUAAGUUUGAAAGAUGCAAUUGCAUCACUCAAAGAUGAUCCCGCGUUGUAUUAGCUAGUUGGUGAGGUAAAGGCUCACCAAGGCGAUGAUACAUAGCCGACCUGAGAGGGUGAUCGGCCACAUUGGGACUGAGACACGGCCCAAACUCCUACGGGAGGCAGCAGUAGGGAAUCUUCGGCAAUGGACGAAAGUCUGACCGAGCAACGCCGCGUGAGUGAAGAAGGUUUUCGGAUCGUAAAACUCUGUUGGUAGAGAAGAACGUUGGUGAGAGUGGAAAGCUCAUCAAGUGACGGUAACUACCCAGAAAGGGACGGCUAACUACGUGCCAGCAGCCGCGGUAAUACGUAGGUCCCGAGCGUUGUCCGGAUUUAUUGGGCGUAAAGCGAGCGCAGGUGGUUUAUUAAGUCUGGUGUAAAAGGCAGUGGCUCAACCAUUGUAUGCAUUGGAACUGGUAGACUUGAGUGCAGGAGAGGAGAGUGGAAUUCCAUGUGUAGCGGUGAAAUGCGUAGAUAUAUGGAGGAACACCGGUGGCGAAAGCGGCUCUCUGGCCUGUAACUGACACUGAGGCUCGAAAGCGUGGGGAGCAAACAGGAUUAGAUACCCUGGGUAGUCCACGCCGUAAACGAUGAGUGCUAGAUGUAGGAGCUAUAAGUUCUCUGUAUCGCAGCUAACGCAAUAAGCACUCCGCCUGGGGGAGUACGACGCAGGUGAACUCAAAAGGAAUGACGGGGGGCGCACAGCGUUGCAGCAUGGUGGAUUAAAUUCGGAAGCAACGCGAAGAAACCUUA